GUGCCACUUCGGCAGCAUAUAUACUAAAAUUGGAACGAUACAGAGAAGAUUAGCAUGGUCCCUGUGCAAGAAUGACACAGAAAUUCAUGAAGCAGUCCAUAUUGUG
Small nuclear RNA from Ictidomys tridecemlineatus (thirteen-lined ground squirrel), 106 nucleotides. NCBI's taxonomy places the organism in Eukaryota, Metazoa, Chordata, Mammalia, Rodentia, Sciuridae. The record is from Ensembl.